This 1371-nucleotide long non-coding RNA is filed under the name Canis lupus familiaris (dog). Its description in RNAcentral is "lncRNA (ENSCAFG00000058124.1, ENSCAFG00805024894.1)". Lineage: Eukaryota; Metazoa; Chordata; Mammalia; Carnivora; Canidae. The record is from RNAcentral.
UGGCCUUGCCAAAAAGAAGAAGAGAGAGAGAUUGCUCUUUCGUGUACAUGCAUGGAGGGGAGGUCAUAUGAGGACACAGGCACAAGGCAGCUGGCUGCAAGGCAGGAAGGGAGAUCUCACCAGAAACCGAAAGGGCUGACACAAAGAUCUUGACUUCCUGGCUUCCAGAACAGAACUUUCUGUUGUUUAAGCUACCCAGUCCCUGGUAUUUUGUUAUGGUGGCCUGAGGAGAUGACAGAAACUUUUGUUGUCAUUGUUGUUCUGAUUUUAGUAUUGGGUCUAGUUCUAGUAACGUUCUGAGGGUUCACCAAUUCCUACCUUGAGGUUCUAGGAGACAGUGCAAUGUCAUCAUCAUAAAUUUCCUACUAUUUGCUUAAGUAGGUUUCUGUAAUUGAUAGCCAAAGUCUGGCUGAUAUUGAAUGUUAGUGUAGACAAAAGUCAUUUGUAGUUCAUGGCUGGGAUGAAAGUUUCAUGGAGGAGAUAGGAUUUAAGCUGGAACUUAAAAAUGGCUAGACUUUGAAAAGGUGGAAAGAGAGAAUGCUCUGAUAACUGAGACUACGGCAUAGAGUUGGGUGUGCUGUGCGUGUCACAACAGUACACAUUCAGGCUCAAGUGUAAUAAUCCACAUGUGAAACUGGAUUAUUCUGUAUUAGGUUUUCAUAGUUUCAGAAAACCGUUUGCUGAUGUGUCUUAAACAUAUUAAAGAUACAAAUUUCAAAUUUAAAUAUCUGGCUGAUUUAAUAAAUCUAAAGCAUUGUUAAAUAGAAAAGGUAAAAAAAAAUAUUUUUCUCCCUUUUCUUAUGUUCAGUGAGGAUGCAACUCCUAUGAAUUCCCUCAGUGUUAUCCAUAAUUAUCAUUGCAUAGAAUCAGUUUUUAAAAGUUCAAAUUCUCUCAGAUAUUACAGCAAAUUUGUUGCCUCUUCUAGGUCUUUGUUAAACAGAUGAUUCUAUGCCUUCUACUGAUAAAAGCUUCUUUAAAUGUAAUAUUAAAAUAGACAUAUAAUUGCCUAUCUGUCCUUUAGCACCACUUCAUUUACAAUUCUGAGUGAACUGUCCUGUAAAAAUCAAAAAGGUAUCUAAAGUCUUGCUCCCUCAAGCAAACUCUUGUUUAUAGGAGAUCUCCAGGGUAAAUUUCAUCACUGUCUCCUUUUGAAACUUUAAUCAACCCAUUCUAAAACAAAAUUAUUAGGUAUAUUUCCCUAAAUAGCUUAUAAAGCUAAAGACCAAGAAAGACAUUGCCUGAAAACUAUUACUUAAAUGCUUCAAUUUAAAUAUGCACCAAGACAUAUUUUGACCCCAAAUAAUUUUUUUAAUUGAGAAAGCAUGUGCCAAUAAUUCAUUUUUUAAGUGUCACUUAAAACGACCCAGAGGA